AUGUCUCCCUAUAGGCUUGCUGCAUUUGGGUUUCGAGGAGCUUUGAAAUUACAGAACAAGUUUUAUGGCCCUUUUGUGAUAACUCAGAGAGUGGGCAAAGUAGCUUACAGACUGCAAUUUCCUGAUCAUGUCAAAAUUCAUCAUGUCUUCCAUGUGAGCCAGUUGAAAAAGCACAUAGGAUCUAAGUCCAUUCCCAGUAAAAACCUUCCGAUGGUUACAGCAGACGGCACAGUAAAGACUGGGCCGGCAGAAGUUCUUCAAGUCAGACAAGUGCCUCGACACAAUAUGCCAGUUGUACAGUGGUACAUUCAGUGGCAAAACCUACCGCCAGAAGAUGCAACGUGGGAAGAUGCGGAUUUCAUAAAGUAUACAUUCCCUGAGUUCUUUAAAGCUACGACACAAGUGUGGCGAGAGCAACAACAAGCGCCAUGA
Molecule: ribosomal RNA, 432 nt
Filed under: Triticum aestivum (bread wheat)
Lineage: Eukaryota; Viridiplantae; Streptophyta; Magnoliopsida; Poales; Poaceae
Description: partial small subunit ribosomal RNA
Source: RNAcentral